Molecule: long non-coding RNA, 1878 nt
Organism: Stegastes partitus (bicolor damselfish)
Lineage: Eukaryota; Metazoa; Chordata; Actinopteri; Pomacentridae
Exons: 2
Source: RefSeq, a predicted model, not a curated record
UUGCAUCGCUUUUUGUGGGGCAUUUUGUGCUCUUGCUAGAAAUGUGCUACACAAGUGGCCAUUAUCACUACUGUUGGCAUUGUUGUUCCUACAUUUUCCAUCGUCGCUUUUGUCAUUUUUACACAAUUCACAUUUAUUCAUGAUUUGUAUUUCUUUUUUGUUGUUUUCAGACUUUGUAAACAGUUGGUUGGCUAUUUCUCGCACAGUUAGAAAAAAACAACCUCCCUGAUUGCAGCCCAGCAAGAGUUCAAUCUGCUGGAGCACUCGGUGAUUACAGUGUCCAACAAGAUGGGGCUCAAGGCAGAGGAUGAUUGGGAGGGUGCUGGAGCAGACCAUGGCUUUAUCUCAGGUUCCGUCUAAAGGCUGGGAAACACAGCACCUGGUCCCCACUUGGCAGUACACAGAAGUCCUUGAAUCAGUCAAAAACAGCCUGCAUCCCCUCCAGGAGUUUACAGGUGCCCUCUCUGGCAAAGCGUUGUAAGCAUGUCAUACCUGAAGCCCGUCCUGCAUCUCCUGAGAACAUCAAGUCUGGCUGGAAAUGAGAAGGCAACAGACCUUACCAAGGCAGUAAUGCCAAGAGCCCUUGACCGCAUGGAAGACCCAGCCACAGAGGAGCUUCUGGACAACACUUGAUCCCUUAAACCAAGAUUCAGGAUUAACUACAUAACUGCAGAGAAAUGGUAGAGGUGGCACAAAAAGUAGAAAAGGGCUCGUGUCAGCACCACAUGCGCCGUGCUUCAAAGUGCAGCAGAGGCAGAGCUGUCCACUGUGGAAAAAAUAAAGCAGUCCUGAGGCAGCUUCUUUAAGAACAGUGCUGUGCCCCCCUGCUUCAUUUGCUGUGCACUUGGAGGAUGCCGUGGAAGCUGAGCUGAACAGCUACACGAUGGCUCCAACCAUCAAUGGAUCUUUCAGCCAGGUGGAAUGUAUGCACUGUUAUUUUCCGACACUAACUGACUCACAAAUUCCUGUGCAUCCACAAGUUUGCUAUUCGUGAGUCUUUAGUGCUGGGGGGGAUUGUAGUCACACAUUGAUGUUCUUGUCUAAAACUAGAAAAGGUUCACAAAAUAUUUUGACCAAAAAAAACUGCAAUUAUUUUUGAGAAGAGGAAGAAGAGAAGUCAAGAAAAGCAUAAUUAUGUAGGGCUUCUAUUGAUUUAAGUUAUUUGAAGAUUUUUUUCUGCACUUCAUCCUAUUGUGACUGCCUUUGGCAAAAAAACAAAGUGAAAUGCCUAACAUAUAGAUUCCUGUUUGUGUUAUCAUAUUUAGUGGUUGCUUAUUUGCCAAGCAUUAUGUGGUUUCCAAUUUAUUGUAAGUUUAAUGCUACAUAACAGUAAAUAAUGUUUUAUUUUGUUUUUUUACUUAUAUUGACUAGAGAUUAUGCAACAUUUAUAUGCUGCUCCUGAACAAUAAGUAAGUGACUCACCGAUUUUGUGUCCCAGACACUGUUUACAUAGAGGUCUUAUUAUUUUCUAGAUGGAAUUUCUUUUAUUAUUAUUACGUUUCUUGACUUAACACAGUCACAGUUUUUGUGAUUCAUUUUUUAUGUUCAAUUGGUCUUUGUUCAGUGCCAGUUAAAGAAAAUUCAAAAAAUACAUUUUGAAAGCAGUUCAUAUCUUUAAGUUCUCAUAUUUGAAUUGGAGUACAGACCAGUACAUAUUUUGAUGGCUUAUCAUGUUGUAGUACUUCAUAAAGUGUUUUAAAUCUAGUGAAGCUUGACUUUAGUCAGCUUUUUUUUGUUUGUAAAAUCCUCUUUUUCUAGUUUAUUCAGACAAAACUCCAACAUUACCUAUAACUGAAUGUUAUACAUGUAUGUUGCAAAAUGUCUCUUCCGGCUGUUUUUAUUUCCUGCUGUCUGCAUUAAAUAUUUGUUAAAAAGUUA